GCCUGGGUGGCUCAGUCAGUGGAGCGUCUGACUUCGGCUCAGGUCACGAUCUCACGGUUCGUGAGCUCGAGCCCCGCGUCAGGCU
Molecule: non-coding RNA, 85 nt
Organism: Felis catus (domestic cat)
Lineage: Eukaryota; Metazoa; Chordata; Mammalia; Carnivora; Felidae
Source: Rfam